UCUAGAAGCAGGGUUUGGAAAUCCGACUUAUUGCCUGAUGUAUUUCUUCCUCCUCACACAUGAAAGCCCACGUUAGAGAUAGACUAAGAGAAACUAAUAAAUAGAAUAGAGAGGAAGAGAAGUUAGGGGUUGGAGUCUCACCAAAUAGAUGAACAAAGUGGUGGAAGAUGGAAGAAGGGAGAAAGAGGGUGGAUUGUGAGAGAUAUGAAGGAAGGAUGGUGAUGGAGAGGGUGCGGAAGAGAGGG
Molecule: long non-coding RNA, 245 nt
Filed under: Elaeis guineensis (African oil palm)
Lineage: Eukaryota; Viridiplantae; Streptophyta; Magnoliopsida; Arecales; Arecaceae
Description: long non-coding RNA (EGUI_LNC032407)
Source: RNAcentral